Molecule: long non-coding RNA, 402 nt
Filed under: Parus major (Great Tit)
Lineage: Eukaryota; Metazoa; Chordata; Aves; Passeriformes; Paridae
Description: lncRNA (ENSPMJG00000009362.1)
Source: RNAcentral
GUUUGCUGUUUUGUUUCUUUCAACAGUGAAGCCAUAUGAUCUUUCAGCUGAAGAAACAGGCAAGGAACUUUAUAAGUGCUCUUGUGAAAAGCCUUUCAUAGUAUCUGCCAGCUCCUGAAAACUUCAGUGGGAUUGUUCGUCUCUUUGGUACAAGGAAAAGGGAUCAAUAUCUGAGAGAUCUAUUAAAUGAACUGGAUUUUAAAGCACAAUGGAAGAACCCAACUGUCUGAGAGAGCUGCCCAUGGGUGUUGUAAAGAUCAUUUCCAACAAUAAAAUCCAAUUUAAACUUUUAUGAUAAAAGUGUAGAAGAGCUUAAAAAUAGCUCAGGUAUUUUUCUAGAGAAGGUGAUGUCAUUCUUUCCAUCAGCAGAAAGAAUAUUUUACUCAUGCUUUAGUCUUUGUU